This 732-nucleotide long non-coding RNA is filed under the name Phasianus colchicus (ring-necked pheasant). Its description in RNAcentral is "lncRNA (ENSPCLG00000017475.1)". Lineage: Eukaryota; Metazoa; Chordata; Aves; Galliformes; Phasianidae. The record is from RNAcentral.
GCCCCCUCCCGGACCCGAAGCUUUCGGCUGCGCUCGGCUGUUUUCGGCUGCGCUCGGCUCGGCGGCGCCUCCCUUGGGCGGGGCGCAGCCCUUAAAGCCGCCCGCGGCCCCGGGAUCCAAAACUGCGGCGCUGCGGGGCGGCCGGGAUCCGCUGUGCGCGCCGCCGGCGUGGGCGCAAAGAACCGGAACCGAACCGGAACCGAACCGGAACCGAACCGGAACCGGCACCAGGACCCGCCUUGGUUCCACCAGCAGCGCUGCCACCAACAGCCGAACCGACACCGGGACCGACAGCGGUACCAGAACCGACACCGGGACCAACAGCGGCACCACAAUGGAGACGCUGGUACCGACACCGACAGAACCGACACCGGAACCAACAGCAGAACCGCCGCCGGUACCGGCAGCAACACCGGUACCAACCACCGCCACCGGAACCGCUGCCGGUACCGACAUCGGCACCACCAGAACCACCCUUGGUACCAGCAGAACCACCAGAACCACCACCAGAAGCACCCUAACGACCCUUGGUACCACCAGAACCACCACCGGUACCACCAGAACCACCAGAACCACCCUUGGCCCUACCAGAACCACUCACCGGUACCACCAGAACCACCAGAACCACCAGAACCACCUUUGGUACCACCAGAACCGCCCCUGGUGCCGGCGGUACCGGCAGCCCCUCCCCCGGCAGAUUUCGGGUGGCUGGGCGCCGUUUUGGGGCGCGGU